UACGUAGGGUGCAAGCGUUAAUCGGAAUUACUGGGCGUAAAGGGCUCGUAGGCGGCCAACUAAGUCAGACGUGAAAUCCCUCGGCUUAACCGGGGAACUGCGUCUGAUACUGGAUGGCUUGAGUUUGGGAGAGGGAUGCGGAAUUCCCGGUGUAGCGGUGAAAUGCGCAGAUAUCGGGAAGAACACCCGUGGCGAAGGCGGUUCUCUGGGACGGUACUGACGCUGAGACGCGAAAGCGUGGGGAGCGAACAGG
Molecule: ribosomal RNA, 253 nt
Filed under: uncultured bacterium
Lineage: Bacteria
Description: partial 16S ribosomal RNA
Rfam family: Bacterial small subunit ribosomal RNA
Source: RNAcentral